This 258-nucleotide ribosomal RNA is filed under the name Triticum aestivum (bread wheat). RNAcentral's name for it is "partial small subunit ribosomal RNA". Lineage: Eukaryota; Viridiplantae; Streptophyta; Magnoliopsida; Poales; Poaceae. The record is from RNAcentral.
AUGCGCCGAAGGUUAGGCGUGCCCCGUCGCUCUGGGAUGCUCAGGCAAGCGCUGCAUGUUGUCGCAUUCCAAAGCAAGGAGAAGAUUGCUUCCAAAGUGGACUAUUUGAAGAAUACGUUCAGGUGGUCUGAUGCUGAAGUGAGCAUUGUUGUGCGCAAGUAUCCGGGUCUGCUGAGGAAGUCAAAGGAAUCUCUGAAGCACAGGUCUGAGUUCCUGUGCUCUAAGGUGGGGCUGGAACCCGUGUACAUUGCUCAUUGA